This 221-nucleotide long non-coding RNA is filed under the name Elaeis guineensis (African oil palm). RNAcentral describes it as "long non-coding RNA (EGUI_LNC062281)". The record is from RNAcentral. Lineage: Eukaryota; Viridiplantae; Streptophyta; Magnoliopsida; Arecales; Arecaceae.
UACUUCUAUCACCCUACUCAACAAAAGAUGUUUGUUAGUAGGUAUGCUACUUUUUUGGAGAAAGAGUUCAUCCAAGAAGGGGGCAAUGGGAGAAUAGUUGAAUUUGAGAAAGUUCAAGAUCUACAGUCUAUUCAGAAGCAAUAUGUGGAGAGUCUAUAAGUUAAUCCUUAACCUAAUAUGCCCAUUGUUGAGGCACAGCUACAACACACAUCUUCUCUCCG